GACGAACGCUGGCGGCGUGCUUAACACAUGCAAGUCGAACGGAAAGGCCCUGCUUUUGUGGGGUGCUCGAGUGGCGAACGGGUGAGUAACACGUGAGUAACCUGCCCUUGACUUUGGGAUAACUUCAGGAAACUGGGGCUAAUACCGGAUAGGAGCUCCUGCUGCAUGGUGGGGGUUGGAAAGUUUCGGCGGUUGGGGAUGGACUCGCGGCUUAUCAGCUUGUUGGUGGGGUAGUGGCUUACCAAGGCUUUGACGGGUAGCCGGCCUGAGAGGGUGACCGGGCAAAUGGGGACUGAGAUACGGCCCAGACGCCUACGGGAGGCAGCAGUGGGGAAUAUUGCGCAAUGGGCGGAAGCAUGAGGCAGCAACGCCGCGGGCGGGAUGACGGCCUUCGGGUUGUAAACCGCUUUCGCCUGUGACGAAGCGUGAGUGACGGUAAUGGGUAAAGAAGCACCGGCUAACUACGUG
Molecule: ribosomal RNA, 468 nt
Filed under: uncultured bacterium
Lineage: Bacteria
Description: partial 16S ribosomal RNA
Rfam family: Bacterial small subunit ribosomal RNA
Source: RNAcentral